This 1634-nucleotide long non-coding RNA is filed under the name Medicago truncatula (barrel medic). Its description in RNAcentral is "lncRNA gene7300". The record is from RNAcentral. Lineage: Eukaryota; Viridiplantae; Streptophyta; Magnoliopsida; Fabales; Fabaceae.
GGUAAUGGCCUUUAUCUAUAGUGAGUAGCACUAUAAGCUUCAGAAUGAAGUGUAAUUUAGUGGUGCCUGCUUGAAGAAAAUCAGGCAAAUGAAUUACACAAAUCAGUUCAUAAAUAAAAUUAAUUUAUUGUCACUUUUUGGAUUCAUCUGUAGUGUUGAUUUCUACUUCCUCUUUCCUGUGUAUGAUAUAUGUAGGUAAUAGGUAAAAAGAAGGCUUGGUCAAAAGCCAGCAACAACAUUUGAUUCUUCAACAGUAUUGGUUUUACCAUUGCCGUUGUUAAGUUCCAUACCAUAGACAUGGCCCAUUUUCGUACGUUUGGUCUCCAAAUAUCUCUUGUUCUCGGAGGUGAUAAGAGUUAACAACGGGAUCCUACCAGAAACAGUCAAACCAUAGCCUUUGAGGCCAACAUAUUUUGUUGGAUUGUUUGUCAUCAACUUCAUAGAUUGAACACCUAGAUCCCUCAGUAUCUGCAAAAGUAAGUAGCAUUUCAAAUUGUAAGCCAUGCCUGUGAUAACUUUCCAUAACAACAGUGAGCACCAUGUAUUUAAACAGUUAAAAUUUUAGCUUGAGCAUAAAUAUUACGAGUAAAUGAGCAUUUCAGUCAUUGAAACUGUAAGGGUCGGUCUCAGGCUCUAAAAUUUGUAAAAUAACAAUUUAGUCCAUUUAAUUGAAGAAUGUCAAUUUAGUCAUUCGACCAAAAUAUCUCUUUAAUAAUCAUGCAUCAAAAGCAAUGAAAGAUCUACAUAUUGACAUCAAUAGUAUCUUGCUGCGUCAAAACAAACAUAGAACCACUCAAAAUGUUAUUGUAAAAAAUCCUUCGUGGAACCAUUGAGCAAUUCUAAUAUAUUACCUGUGCGCCUAUGCCAUAUUCUCUAGAGUCAACAGGCAAUCCCAACUCCUCAUUGGCUUCUACGGUAUCGCGUCCAUCAUCCUGUAAGUUAUAAGCACGGAGCUUGUGGCCCAAUCCAAUACCCCUUCCUUCAUGUCCACGUAGAUAUACAAGUACUCCCCUACCGGCAGCCUCAAUCUGUUCCAUUGCAAGUGCAAGUUGAUUUCCACAGUCACAUCUGGCAGAUCCAAAUAUGUCUCCAGUUAGACACUCUGAGUGUACCCUCACAAGAACAUCUUCUCCAUCUCCGAUGUCACCCUGUCAAAUGACAAAUUGUCAAAAACCCAUCACUAAGUGUUGCAAAAUAUAGGUAGUUCCACGGAAACUAUAUUAUAUACACAAGAAAUGCUCACCUUAACCAUUGCAAUAUGCUCAAUCCCGUCUAACAGAGACUUAUAACAGUAUGAUGUGAAUGGCCCCCACAUUGUAGGUAUUCUUGCAGCAGAAGAACGUUCCACUAAUUGAUCUCUCUUUCUUCUAUAUCUGCAAUAACAAUAAGUUUUAAUGUCCUUGUCAUGAGCAAAUAAGCAACAAGAAGUAUCCCAGACAGCAAAAACCUUGAAAAACGAGACUUAUAAAGAGCACAAAAUCACAUAAAGAACACAGCAAUGAAUUUGGCUACCCUGUAUCUGGUCUACCUUCCUAGUCAGUGCUUCUAUGAAUGUUCUUCACUUUUACUUAAACCACACAAGCCAGGACUCUACCAUUUUCCUACGGUGGGAGCUACCCCAAUUUUCGCUCUAA